RNAcentral lists this ribosomal RNA (232 nucleotides) under Symbiodinium sp. clade D. RNAcentral describes it as "partial Bacterial small subunit ribosomal RNA". It matches the Rfam family "Bacterial small subunit ribosomal RNA", at positions 37 to 284 of the family's 1533-position model. The record is from RNAcentral. Lineage: Eukaryota; Dinophyceae; Suessiales; Symbiodiniaceae.
UGGCGGCGUGGAUUAGGCAUGCAAGUCGAGCGAGAAGCUUCCCUUCGGGGAAGUGGACAGCGGCAAACGGGGUAGUAAUACAUCGAUUACGUCCCCCCAGGUCUAGGAUAGCCGGGGGAAACCGCGGGUAAUACUGGAUAAUCUCUACGGAGCAAAAGUCCGCUGCCUGGGGACCGGUCGAUGCGAUACUAGGUUGUUGGUGAGGUAAUGGCUCACCAAGCCUGCGAUGUCU